AAUAGCAGAGAGGAUACACCUGUUCCCAUUCCGAACACAGAAGUUAAGCUCUCUAGCGCUGAUGGUACUUGGUGGGAAGCUGCCUGGGAGAGUAGGACAUAGCCACGU
RNAcentral lists this ribosomal RNA (108 nucleotides) under Clostridioides difficile. The record is from RNAcentral. Lineage: Bacteria; Bacillati; Bacillota; Clostridia; Peptostreptococcales; Peptostreptococcaceae.